Molecule: ribosomal RNA, 468 nt
Filed under: uncultured bacterium
Lineage: Bacteria
Description: partial 16S ribosomal RNA
Rfam family: Bacterial small subunit ribosomal RNA
Source: RNAcentral
GACGAACGCUGGCGGCGUGCUUAACACAUGCAAGUCGAACGGAAAGGCCCUGCUUUUGUGGGGUGCUCGAGUGGCGAACGGGGGAGUAACACGUGAGUAACCUGCCCUUGACUUUGGGAUAACUUCAGGAAACUGGGGCUAAUACCGGAUAGGAGCUCCUGCUGCGUAGUGGGGGUUGGAAAGAGUCGGCGGUUGGGGAUGGACUGGAGGCUUAUCAGCUUGCUGGUGGGGUAGGGGCUUACCAAGGCUUUGACGGGUAGCCGGCCUUAGAGGUGGGCCGGCCUCCAUGCGCCUGCGGUACGCCCCAGUCUGCUAUGGUCCGCAGUAGGCGGGAAUCUUGCACAGCGGGCCCAAGUCUGAUGUGGCAACGUUGCGUGCGUGAUGAUGUGUUUCGGGUUGUAAACCGCUUUGUACUGUGCUGAAGACUGCGUGACGGUAAUGGGUAAGGAAGCACCGGCUAACUACGUG